This 468-nucleotide ribosomal RNA is filed under the name uncultured bacterium. Its description in RNAcentral is "partial 16S ribosomal RNA". It matches the Rfam family "Bacterial small subunit ribosomal RNA", at positions 28 to 507 of the family's 1533-position model. The record is from RNAcentral.
GACGAACGCUGGCGGCGUGCCUAACACAUGCAAGUCGAACGGAAAGGCCCUGCUUUUGUGGGGUGCUCGAGUGGCGAACGGGUGAGUAACACGUGAGUAACCUGCACUUGUCUUUGGGAUAAAUUCACGGAACUGGGGCGAAUACCGGAUAGGAGCUCCUGCUGCAUGGGGGGGGUUGGAGAGUUUCGGCGGUUGUGGAUGGACUCGCGGCUUAUCAGCUUGUUGGUGGGGUAGUGGCGUCCCAAGGCUUUGAAGGGUAGCCGGCCUGAGAGGGUGACCAGCCACAAUGGGACUACGAUACGGCCCAGACUCCUACGGGAGGCAACAGGGGGGAGUAUUGCACAAUGGGCGGACGCCUGAUGCAGAAGCGCCGCGUGCGUGAUAACGUCUUUCUGGGUGUAAACCUCUUUGGCCUGUGCCGAGGCGAGAUUGACGGUAAUUAGUAAAGAAGCACCGGCUAACUACGUG